RNAcentral lists this transfer RNA (71 nucleotides) under Marmota monax (woodchuck). RNAcentral describes it as "tRNA.Thr". The record is from RNAcentral. Lineage: Eukaryota; Metazoa; Chordata; Mammalia; Rodentia; Sciuridae.
GGGGUUGUGGCUCAGAGGCAGUGUGCUCGCCUAGUAUGUGAGAGGCUCUGGGUUCCAUCCUCAGCACCACA